Molecule: ribosomal RNA, 465 nt
Filed under: uncultured bacterium
Lineage: Bacteria
Description: bacterial SSU rRNA
Rfam family: Bacterial small subunit ribosomal RNA
Source: RNAcentral
CCUACGGGUUGCAGCAGUGGGGAAUAUUGCACAAUGGGCGCAAGCCUGGUGCAGCAAUGCCGCGUGUGUGAAGAAGGCCUUCGAGUUGUAAAGCACUUUCAGCGGAGAGGAAGGCGAUAAGGUUAAUAACCUUGUCGAUUGACGUUACCCGCAGAAGAAGCACCGGAUAACUCCGUGCCAGCAGCCGCGGUAAUACGGAGGGUGCAAGCGUUAAUCGGAAUUACUGGGCGUAAAGCGCACGCAGGCGGUCUGUCAAGUCGGAUGUGAAAUCCCGGGGCUCAACCUGGGAACUGCAUUCGAAACUGGCAGGCUAGAGUCUUGUAGAGGGGGGUAGAAUUCCAGGUGUAGCGGUGAAAUGCGUAGAGAUCUGGAGGAAUACCGGUGGCGAAGGCGGCCCCCUGGACAAAGACUGACGCUCAGGUGCGAAAGCGUGGGGAGCAAACAGGAUUAGAUACCCCAGUAGUC